AUAAUGAUACUUCCUUACAGCCAUAGUCCGAGCGUUAGAAGCGUCGCAGGCAAUGGGUAGGGCUUCGGCAGACCGCCGGAGGGGUGCAAGUCCCAUGA
Molecule: regulatory RNA element, 98 nt
Rfam family: pemK RNA
Source: Rfam